Molecule: ribosomal RNA, 844 nt
Filed under: Apiospora biserialis
Lineage: Eukaryota; Fungi; Ascomycota; Sordariomycetes; Amphisphaeriales; Apiosporaceae
Description: Arthrinium biseriale partial large subunit ribosomal RNA
Rfam family: Eukaryotic large subunit ribosomal RNA
Source: RNAcentral
GGGAUUCCCCUAGUAACGGCGAGUGAAGCGGGAACAGCUCAAAUUUGAAAUCUGGCCCUUGGGUCCGAGUUGUAAUUUGCAGAGGAUGCUUUUGGUGCGGUGCCUUCCGAGUUCCCUGGAACGGGACGCCUUAGAGGGUGAGAGCCCCGUACGGUUGGACACCAAGCCUAUGUAAAGCUCCUUCGACGAGUCGAGUAGUUUGGGAAUGCUGCUCAAAAUGGGAGGUAUAUUUCUUCUAAAGCUAAAUAUUGGCCAGAGACCGAUAGCGCACAAGUAGAGUGAUCGAAAGAUGAAAAGCACUUUGAAAAGAGGGUUAAAUAGCACGUGAAAUUGUUGAAAGGGAAGGAUUUAUGACCAGACUUUUUCUAGGGGGAUCAUCCGGUGUUCUCACCGGUGCACUUCCCCUAGUUGAGGCCAGCAUCGGUUUCUGUCGAGGGAUAAAAGCUUUAGGAAUGUGGCUCCCUUCGGGGAGUGUUAUAGCCUGUUGCAUAAUACCUUGACGGGGACCGAGGUUCGCGCAUUGCAAGGAUGCUGGCGUAAUGGUUAUUAAUCACCCGUCUUGAAACACGGACCAAGGAGUCGAACAUUUGUGCGAGUGUUUGGGUGUUAAACCCUCACGCGUAAUGAAAGUGAACGGAGGUGAGAGCCUUUCGGGGUGCAUCAUCGACCGAUCCUGAUGUCUUCGGAUGGAUUUGAGUAAGAGCAUUAAUGUUCGGACCCGAAAGAUGGUGAACUAUGCGUGGAUAGGGUGAAGCCAGAGGAAACUCUGGUGGAGGCUCGCAGCGGUUCUGACGUGCAAAUCGAUCGUCAAAUCUGCGCAUGGGGGCGAAAGACUAAUCGAACC